AGCAGCCGCGGUAAUUCCAGCUCCAAUAGCGUAUAUUAAAGUUGUUGCAGUUAAAAAGCUCGUAGUUGAAUUUCGGGGUUAGUAGAUUGGUCGUGCCUUCGGUAUGUACUGGUCUUACUGAUUCCUCCUUCCUGAUGAACCGUAAUGCCAUUAAUUUGGUGUUGCGGGGAAACUGGACUGUUACUUUGAAAAAAUUAGAGUGUUUAAAGCAGGCUAACGCUUGAAUACAUUAGCAUGGAAUAAUGAAAUAGGACGUUCGAUCUUAUUUUGUUGGUUUCUAGGAUUGACGUAAUGAUUAAUAGGGAUAGUUGGGGGCAUUAGUAUUCAAUUGUCAGAGGUGAAAUUCUUGGAUUUAUUGAAGACUAACUACUGCGAAAGCAUUUGCCAAGGAUGUUUUCAUUAAUCAAGAACGAAAGUUAGGGGAUCGAAGACGAUCAGAUACCGUCGUAGUCUUAACCAUAAACUAUGCCGACUAGGGAUCGGAUGAUGUUAAUUUUUAAUGUACUUCAUUCGGCGCCUU
Molecule: ribosomal RNA, 520 nt
Filed under: uncultured Glomeromycotina
Lineage: Eukaryota; Fungi; Glomeromycota
Description: SSU rRNA
Rfam family: Eukaryotic small subunit ribosomal RNA
Source: RNAcentral